UACGAAGGGGGCUAGCGUUGUUCGGAAUCACUGGGCGUAAAGGGCGCGUAGGCGGCUUUGUAAGUUAGAAGUGAAAUGCCAGGGCUUAACCUUGGAACUGCUUUUAAAACUGCAUGGCUAGAGUAUGGGAGAGGAUGGUGGAAUUCCUAGUGUAGAGGUGAAAUUCGUAGAUAUUAGGAGGAACACCGGUGGCGAAGGCGGCCAUCUGGACCAUUACUGACGCUGAGGCGCGAAAGCGUGGGGAGCGAACAGG
Molecule: ribosomal RNA, 253 nt
Filed under: uncultured bacterium
Lineage: Bacteria
Description: partial 16S ribosomal RNA
Rfam family: Bacterial small subunit ribosomal RNA
Source: RNAcentral